Molecule: ribosomal RNA, 372 nt
Filed under: uncultured prokaryote
Description: bacterial SSU rRNA
Rfam family: Bacterial small subunit ribosomal RNA
Source: RNAcentral
UACGUAGGGUGCGAGCGUUAAUCGGAAUUACUGGGCGUAAAGCGGGCGCAGGCGGAUGUUUAAGUCAGAUGUGAAAUCCCCGGGCUCAACCUGGGAAUGGCAUUUGAAACUGGGCAUCUAGAGUGCGUCAGAGGGGGGUGGAAUUCCACGUGUAGCAGUGAAAUGCGUAGAGAUGUGGAGGAACACCGAUGGCGAAGGCAGCCCCCUGGGAUGACACUGACGCUCAUGCACGAAAACGUGGGGAGCAAACAAGAUUAGAUGCCCUGGUAGUCCACGCCCUAAACUAUGUCAACUAGUUGUUGGGUACGUAAGUUCUUAGUGACGAAGCUGACACGUGAAGUUGACCGCCUGGGGAGUACGGCCGCAAGGUUG